This 335-nucleotide unclassified non-coding RNA is filed under the name soil metagenome. RNAcentral describes it as "partial contains 5.8S ribosomal RNA, internal transcribed spacer 2, and large subunit ribosomal RNA". The stretch from base 1 to 120 matches the Rfam family "5.8S ribosomal RNA", at positions 35 to 154 of the family's 154-position model. The record is from RNAcentral.
GAUGAAGAACGCAGCGAAAUGCGAUAAGUAAUGUGAAUUGCAGAAUUCAGUGAAUCAUCGAAUCUUUGAACGCACAUUGCGCCCAUUAGCAUUCUAGUGGGCAUGCCUGUUCGAGCGUCAUUUCAACCCUUAAGCCCUGUUGCUUAGCGUUGGGAGCCUACAGUACUGUAGCUCCCCAAAGUUAGUGGCGGAGUCGGUUUCACACUCUAGACGUAGUAAUUUUUUCUCGUCUGUAGUUGAGCCGGUCCCCUGCCGUAAAACACCCAAUUUAUCAAGGUUGACCUCGGAUCUGGUAGGAAUACCCGCUGAACUUAAGCAUAUCAAUAAGCGGAGGA